CGCUAGUAAUCGCGAAUCAGAAUGUCGCGGUGAAUACGUUCCCGGGUCUUGUACACACCGCCCGUCACACCAUGGGAGCCGGAAAUGCCCGAAGUCAGUGGCCCAACCUUAAAGGAGGGAGCUGCCGAAGGUGGAGCUGGUAACUGGGGUGAAGUCGUAACAAGGUAAC
RNAcentral lists this ribosomal RNA (169 nucleotides) under uncultured bacterium. Its description in RNAcentral is "partial 16S ribosomal RNA". It matches the Rfam family "Bacterial small subunit ribosomal RNA", at positions 1333 to 1500 of the family's 1533-position model. The record is from RNAcentral.